UACGUAGGUGGCGAGCGUUAUCCGGAGUUAUUGGGCGUAAAGAGCGCGCAGGUGGUUGAUUAAGUCUGAUGUGAAAGCCCACGGCUUAACCGUGGAGGGUCAUUGGAAACUGGUCGACUUGAGUGCAGAAGAGGGAAGUGGAAUUCCAUGUGUAGCGGUGAAAUGCGUAGAGAUAUGGAGGAACACCAGUGGCGAAGGCGGCUUCCUGGUCUGUAACUGACACUGAGGCGCGAAAGCGUGGGGAGCAAACAGGAUUAGAUACCCCU
Molecule: ribosomal RNA, 266 nt
Filed under: uncultured prokaryote
Description: partial 16S ribosomal RNA
Rfam family: Bacterial small subunit ribosomal RNA
Source: RNAcentral